UCAACCCACGCCCUACAACAAUAUAUUUGCCAUGCUGCUUUAUUUAUCAGCAUCUUGAUGCAUGCAUCCCUGCGUAACUCGUAGCCCCCUCCUUCUGGAGUCAUCCCAGUUCAAGACGUCUGUCUGCCUUUUAUUAAAGAUUCUCUCUCCGAAUAUUUCUGCAGCAGUGUCUGUACAACAACAGCUUUAUAUCAAUGGCACAGGAGGUGUGUUUGCAGCUGUGACAUCAUUGUAUAAAUAUCAGACAGCAGUGCAGGAAAUUUGGGCUGGGUAAAGGCUGCACUCUUUGCUGAGUCUGCUUUUACCUUAUUCUGUGUCCUCAGUACAUUUGUACUCAUACAGGAAGGAUUGCACCCAUUCUUUCCUCCUGUGCUUCACCUGGUGGAAAUCACUAAACGUCACCAGGGUCCAGGCCCCUUUCCCAGUCACUGGCUCACUUUGUGUACUGGUUCUCACUCUGAAACACAAGUGAUUCUCAAUUGCAGCGUUAUCCAACAAACAAACUUGUGACUUUGUACCGGGUUGUAAAUAAAUAACAUUCUUGGCAUCUUUUCAUCAAUGCUGACACACACUGGACUUCUCUGUCACAUUUACCAGUAUCUUACUGGCUGCAUAGGAAAACAAUAGUUAUGAACAACCAAUUUUUUGUCUUCCCUGGAAUAUUGUUGAUAGGACUUUGGGAAAUUCCUUUGAAGAAGACUCUUGCUUGGGAGCCCUAUGGAUUAUAAUGUUGCACAUGUUCCAGGCUGAGUUAUUUUUACUUCCAAAACUUCUCUGGGAUUUAAAUUGACAACCCUGGAGAAAACAGACAAGUUGGAAUCCAUGCAAGAUCAAAAUAGACAUUGACAACAGAAGUGAAAGGCAAGUACAUUUAGGAUCUCGGUGAACAUCAGAAUGAAUAAUAAGUGUGUUUGGUAAUGGGAUGGUAGAGCCAUUGAAGAAACGUCUGAACCUCCAAAUCUGUGUUACCAGUGGACUGGGAAAGCUUUGUCUUGAUGACAGUAAUUGAGAGGCUGCUUCUCUCUCUCUGGCAGGCGCCACACGCUCCCUAAAGAACCAGCCCCCUCCCGCUUUGGGAAACAAGUGGAAGCAGAAACAAAGGCAAUUGUAAUUGCUUCAAGCCGGCUGGCAUAUAAACUGAACACAGAGAAAGCUCAUUGCUGGGGCACACAAGAUUGUUAUAGAGUAUCUGUGCAUUACAAAACACUGACUGUCUGACUUAAUCAUCAUUUACUGGAGACAGGAUCCAACUAUGUGUUAUCAAAGCCCGUCAACUCUUACUCCUAAGUAAAGAAAUAUCAGUGAUUUGUUUAUGUAUUCAGUCCUAAUACUUAUCGCACAUUGCAGUUGUUAUAAAUUCCUAUGACUGGUGAUCUUUUCUUGAAUAGGUUUCAAAACUGAUAUGAAAUGAACUAUCACAGACUUGGCUUCAAAACACAUUCCCUGCUUUGUUAUCUUUGAGUAUGGUAAGGCAUAAAAUCAACUUUUUAAAUAAA
This is a long non-coding RNA of Xenopus laevis (African clawed frog), 1496 nucleotides long. RefSeq lists it as uncharacterized. Lineage: Eukaryota; Metazoa; Chordata; Amphibia; Anura; Pipidae. The transcript is spliced from 3 exons. The record is from RefSeq and is a predicted model, not a curated record.